UCGCUAUCCGUAAGUCAAACGUAUCGUUCCGUUUUCUUCGAUGCCCUCGGCAAUCCCAAACCCCACCUCCCACCGACGAUCCCCAAUUUCAGCCGCACGGUCGCCUGUCGCCGGAACGCCCCGAGCUCCCGUAGCGUCGUAGACCACAUACUCCUGAAUCCGAACGCACCGCCAGCGCGCGCCCAUGUCUCGCUCGGCUGUCCACCCGCGCGUCUCCUACCUCGGGGUCCGGCGAGCAGGGCCGGCAGCCAUGGAGAACUGCCACGAGAGCAUCCCGACUACAUAUGUGAGGCUAUGGGAGUCCUUUUUUCGUGUAAUGAUGAGAGGAAUAUGACAAGACAACCAAUUGUACCAUGUGAACACAAUCGCUGGGACAAGCUGGUCAAGACAGGAAAAUCUAAAAGAAUGCGACUAAAAUCAAUAUUUGAAGGUACAACCUGUAUUAUGUUACUGCAGAAAUUAAUAUUGUGGUUUGUUAUUGGGAAUCAUGAGUUUCCUGGCAAUGAGACCCAUUAGUUAGAAUCUAUUGUGCUGGGAUCUUUGCUUCACAUCCCAUAUGUGCCAAGUUACUGGUAGAACUGUGUAUCGAAUUUAUUGUGCUGGAAUUUAUUGUGCUUUGGCACACACUCACUUAUAAUCAGGGCUCGCUUAAUUUUAUCUUUCUAAUUCUUUUGAGAAAUACCAUAUCAAUAUUAUUUGUGAUGACUUGUUAGUCAUAAUUUCCAGUCA
This is a long non-coding RNA of Triticum aestivum (bread wheat), 729 nucleotides long. RefSeq lists it as uncharacterized. Lineage: Eukaryota; Viridiplantae; Streptophyta; Magnoliopsida; Poales; Poaceae. The transcript is spliced from 3 exons. The record is from RefSeq and is a predicted model, not a curated record.